GUUUGCCACCAGGUCUGCCCUUGGAAGGGUUAACAUGGCCUCUUUGUCCCAUGGUUGCCAUGGGGACAGUUCCUGUCCUUCAGGAAGCAGGGAGAGCAGUUUCCUGUUUUGAAGAAGGCUUGAGGGCUGUUUUCCUCCAAUCAGCCUGCCCAAAGAGGGGCAGGAAGCCUAAGGCCGGGCUGCCCCUGCUGAUGGGUGUCUGGCUCUGAUUUGCUGCCCCUGGAGCCAGGAAGACAACUCAAUGACUUUCCAGGGAAGAUAAGCCGUGGAAGCUGAUGAGGCUGCAGCUGUGGCAUUGCGGGGUGAGCGGUCCAAGGCUGUGGGGACCUGGGGGUCAGCAGCUGGAGAGGCUGCAAGGCCAGGGGCAUUUCCAUUUUAG
This 379-nucleotide long non-coding RNA is filed under the name Mustela putorius furo (domestic ferret). RNAcentral's name for it is "lncRNA (ENSMPUG00000023819.1)". Lineage: Eukaryota; Metazoa; Chordata; Mammalia; Carnivora; Mustelidae. The record is from RNAcentral.